RNAcentral lists this ribosomal RNA (402 nucleotides) under uncultured soil bacterium. RNAcentral's name for it is "bacterial SSU rRNA". It matches the Rfam family "Bacterial small subunit ribosomal RNA", at positions 355 to 774 of the family's 1533-position model. The record is from RNAcentral.
UGGGGAGUAUUGGACAAUGGGGGCAACCCUGAUCCAGCAAUGCCGCGUGAGUGAUGAAGGCCUUAGGGUUGUAAAGCUCUUUCGGCGGGGACGAUGAUGACGGUACCCGCAGAAGAAGCCCCGGCUAACUUCGUGCCAGCAGCCGCGGUAAUACGAAGGGGGCAAGCGUUGUUCGGAUUUACUGGGCGUAAAGGGCGCGCAGGCGGCUCUUCAAGUCAGAUGUGAAAGCCCCGGGCUCAACCUGGGAACUGCAUUUGAGACUGAAGAACUCGAGUUCGGGAGAGGAUGGCGGAAUUCCCAGUGUAGAGGUGAAAUUCGUAGAUAUUGGGAAGAACACCGGUGGCGAAGGCGGCCAUCUGGACCGAGACUGACGCUGAGGCGCGAAAGCGUGGGGAGCAAACA